This 30-nucleotide non-coding RNA is filed under the name Homo sapiens (human). The record is from RNAcentral. Lineage: Eukaryota; Metazoa; Chordata; Mammalia; Primates; Hominidae.
GCGUGUGAGAAACCGAUGACUGGUGGGAGU